GACGAACGCUGGCGGCGUGCCUAAUACAUGCAAGUAGAACGCUGAAGGAGGAGCUUGCUUCUCUGGAUGAGUUGCGAACGGGUGAGUAACGCGUAGGUAACCUGCCUGGUAGCGGGGGAUAACUAUUGGAAACGAUAGCUAAUACCGCAUAAUAGCAGUUAUUGCAUGAUAACUGUUUGAAAGGUGCAAUUGCACCACUACCAGAUGGACCUGCGUUGUAUUAGCUAGUUGGUGGGGUAACGGCUCACCAAGGCGACGAUACAUAGCCGACCUGAGAGGGGGGACGGCCACACUGGGAACGGGACCACGCCCCAGCUCCCUCGGGGAGCAGCAAUAGGGGAUCUUCGGCAAUGGGCGGAAGUCUGACCGAGCAACGCCGCGGGAGUGAAGAAGGUUUUCGGAUCGUAAAGCUCUGUUGUAAGGGAAGAACGAGUGUGAGAUUGGAAAGUUCACACUGUGACGGUAUCUUACCAGAAAGGGACGGCUAACUACGUG
This 495-nucleotide ribosomal RNA is filed under the name uncultured bacterium. RNAcentral's name for it is "partial 16S ribosomal RNA". It matches the Rfam family "Bacterial small subunit ribosomal RNA", at positions 28 to 507 of the family's 1533-position model. The record is from RNAcentral.